RNAcentral lists this ribosomal RNA (282 nucleotides) under uncultured Faecalibacterium sp. RNAcentral describes it as "partial 16S ribosomal RNA". It matches the Rfam family "Bacterial small subunit ribosomal RNA", at positions 62 to 339 of the family's 1533-position model. Lineage: Bacteria; Bacillati; Bacillota; Clostridia; Eubacteriales; Oscillospiraceae. The record is from RNAcentral.
UCGAACGAGAGAGAGGGAGCUUGCUUCCUUGAUCGAGUGGCGAACGGGUGAGUAACGCGUGAGGAACCUGCCUCAAAGAGGGGGACAACAGUUGGAAACGACUGCUAAUACCGCAUAAGCCCACGACCCGGCAUCGGGAAGAGGGAAAAGGAGCAAUCCGCUUUGAGAUGGCCUCGCGUCCGAUUAGCUAGUUGGUGAGGUAACGGCCCACCAAGGCGACGAUCGGUAGCCGGACUGAGAGGUUGAACGGCCACAUUGGGACUGAGACACGGCCCAGACUCC